This 634-nucleotide long non-coding RNA is filed under the name Brassica napus (rape). RNAcentral's name for it is "long non-coding RNA (BNAP_LNC010793)". The record is from RNAcentral. Lineage: Eukaryota; Viridiplantae; Streptophyta; Magnoliopsida; Brassicales; Brassicaceae.
CAUAAGCAUAUAUACCAAAAAAUGCGAGUCUCUCCUGCAGUAUAUUGACGGAUUUACGAUGGUGAUGUCUACGUUUUUGAUUAAACGACAAUGGAGGAGGAGAAAUUAUAGCCUGGAUUGAGGAGAUGCUCAGAGACGAUGAGUGAAGGGUCAGAGGAGGAGAAACGCCGCGAGAAACAGAGCUUAUCGGCUUUAGGAAGACCAGUGACGGUAUUGUGUACUAAGAAAGGUUUGGGAUGACUCCAAUACUGCUUUCGUUCUCACCAAUAAAUUGAUCAUGAGAGAAGAUCAGUUUUUGGCCAUGGCUAGGAUUAACGACGUUGGUGAAAAAGGAGAAGGAAGGCUUCUGAAGAAGAUGAUAAAUUUUUUAAGAAAAAAAAAUUAUAUAUAAAAAUUGGCUUUUGGUUUGGUUUAAUUGAUUUUAAGCUUUUUGAUUAGGAGUCAACCAAUUAAAACCAAUAAACCAAUUUAAACCAUGAUCUAUGGGUAAUUAAGUUACAAAUUAUUGAUUCAUGGAGAAAUAGGUUUGCAAUUUUUAUAUUAUGGGGAUUUAGCAUGAGGUUAAAGUUCGAUGGGGAUUUGAUGCUAUAUGAUAGUUAUCGUGGGGAAAUAGAUGGUCGACCCUAUAUUAAAA